This 120-nucleotide small RNA is filed under the name Salmonella enterica subsp. enterica. RNAcentral describes it as "partial RtT sRNA". It matches the Rfam family "RtT RNA". From Rfam's summary of the family: This family represents a bacterial cis-regulatory element known as RtT RNA. The exact function of RtT is unknown although it is thought that it may be involved in changing the cellular response in relation to amino acid starvation. The record is from RNAcentral. Lineage: Bacteria; Pseudomonadati; Pseudomonadota; Gammaproteobacteria; Enterobacterales; Enterobacteriaceae.
ACGGGGAAGGAUGAGAAGCUUCGACUAAGGUUCGAUUCGAGCGCAGCGAGAAAGCGUUGCCGUAGGCAACGACCCGAAGGGCGAAGCGCGCAGCGCUGAGUAAUCCUUCCCCCGUCAUCC